AGUGAACGCUGGCGGUAGGCCUAACACAUGCCAGUCGAACGGCAGCACAGUAAGAGCUUGCUCUUACGGGUGGCGAGUGGCGGACGGGUGAGGAAUACAUCGGAAUCUACUUUUUCGUGGGGGAUAACGUAGGGAAACUUACGCUAAUACCGCAUACGACCUACGGGUGAAAGCAGGGGAUCUUCGGACCUUGCGCGAUUGAAUGAGCCGAUGUCGGAUUAGCUAGUUGGCGGGGUAAAGGCCCACCAAGGCGACGAUCCGUAGCUGGUCUGAGAGGAUGAUCAGCCACACUGGAACUGAGAAACGGUCCAGACUCCUACGGGAGGCAGCAGUGGGGAAUAUUGGACAAUGGGCGCAAGCCUGAUCCAACCAUACCGCGUGGGUGAAGAAGGCCUUCGGGCUGUAAAGCCCUUUUGUUGGGAAAGAAAAGCAGCAGGUUAAUACCCCGCUGUUCUGACGGUACCCAAAGAAUAAGCACCGGCUAACUUCGU
This 491-nucleotide ribosomal RNA is filed under the name uncultured bacterium. Its description in RNAcentral is "partial 16S ribosomal RNA". It matches the Rfam family "Bacterial small subunit ribosomal RNA", at positions 29 to 506 of the family's 1533-position model. The record is from RNAcentral.